RNAcentral lists this ribosomal RNA (445 nucleotides) under uncultured bacterium. RNAcentral's name for it is "partial 16S ribosomal RNA". It matches the Rfam family "Bacterial small subunit ribosomal RNA", at positions 354 to 796 of the family's 1533-position model. The record is from RNAcentral.
GUGAGGAAUAUUGGACAAUGGGCGCAAGCCUGAUCCAGCCAUGCCGCGUGCAGGAAGACGCAUCUAUGGUGUGUAAACUGCUUUUGUACGGGAAGAAACACUCCCUCGUGAGGGAGCUUGACGGUACCGUAAGAAUAAGGAUCGGCUAACUCCGUGCCAGCAGCCGCGGUAAUACGGAGGAUCCAAGCGUUAUCCGGAAUCAUUGGGUUUAAAGGGUCCGUAGGCGGUUUAAUAAGUCAGUGGUGAAAGCCCAUCGCUCAACGAUGGAACGGCCAUUGAUACUGUUAGACUUGAAUUACAAGGAAGUAACUAGAAUAUGUAGUGUAGCGGUGAAAUGCUUAGAUAUUACAUGGAAUACCAAUUGCGAAGGCAGGUUACUACUUGUGGAUUGACGCUGAUGGACGAAAGCGUGGGGAGCGAACAGGAUUAGAAACCCCGGUAGUCC